GGAUGUAUAGCAAUAGCUACUUGCAUCAUUGUAAAAAUGAUGCAGGAUCGACUAUGUCGAAUAAAAUUCUAGGUAGAAUUUUGAUAAUGACAUUGUCUGCCUAUGUGUCUUGACCAAAUUACGUGCCAGCAGUCGCGGUAAUACGUAGAAGACUAGUGUUAUUCAUGUUUAAUCGGUUUAAAGGGUACCUAGACGGUAAAUCAAGCCUAAAAUUAAAUGAAGGGACUAAUUUACUAGAGUUACUUAUGAGGGGGUAUUAAAGUACUGCUGGUGUAGAGAUGAAAUUCUGUCAUACCUCUUUUCUAUAGAAAAAUAAUGGCACAGGUAUAGGCGAAAGCAUCCCCUUAUGUGAUAACUGACGUUGAGGGACGAAGGCUUUGUGUAGCGAACAGGAUUAGAUACCCCAGUAGUCAAAGCAGAAAAUGAUGAAUGUCAUAGAUUAGAUAAAUAAGUUUAUUCUAUAAAUGAAAGUGUAAGCAUUCCACCUCAAGAGUAAUUUGGCAACAUUGGAACUGAAAUCAUUAGACCGUUUCUGAAACCAGUAGUGAAGUAUGUUGUUUAAUUUGAUGAUCCGCAAAAAACCUUACCACAAUUUGAAUAUUUAUAUCUUUUAUUGUUUUUUUUUAUUUUCUUCNGAUUUAAAAAGAGGCGAUAUGAUAUAUUACAAGCGUUGCACGGCUGUCUUCAGUAAUGUCGCGAGACUUUGGKUAGUUCCA
RNAcentral lists this ribosomal RNA (716 nucleotides) under Hypogymnia tubulosa. RNAcentral's name for it is "SSU rRNA". It matches the Rfam family "Bacterial small subunit ribosomal RNA", at positions 359 to 1089 of the family's 1533-position model. The record is from RNAcentral. Lineage: Eukaryota; Fungi; Ascomycota; Lecanoromycetes; Lecanorales; Parmeliaceae.